Molecule: ribosomal RNA, 429 nt
Filed under: Phanerophthalmus perpallidus
Lineage: Eukaryota; Metazoa; Mollusca; Gastropoda; Cephalaspidea; Smaragdinellidae
Description: partial 16S ribosomal RNA
Rfam family: Archaeal large subunit ribosomal RNA
Source: RNAcentral
AAACAUAGCCCUNAGAAUUAAUUUAGGGUGAGAUCUGCCCUAAUGAUUUUUAAAUGGCCGCGGUACUCUGACCGUGCUAAGGUAGCAUAAUCAGUUGACUUUUAAAUGAAGUCUGGAAUGAAAGAAGAAACGGAAUUCUGCUGUCUCAAUUCCUUUUAUCUGAAUUUACUAAUUAGGUGAAAAGGCCUAAGAUAAGAUAAAAGACGAGAAGACCCUAAGAGUUUAAGAUUUGGUUUUGUUGGGGCAACAAAGGAUCAGUUAAAAUAUCCUUAAAUUUAUGUGACGGAAUUAUCAUGUUUAAAUAAACUACCUUAGGGAUAACAGCAUAAUUCUAUUAUUGAGUUUGUGACCUCGAUGUUGGACUAGGAAGCGUUUAGGCUAGCUGCCUAAAUUGGGGAUUCUGUUCGAAUUUUUACUCCUACGUGAUCU